This 465-nucleotide ribosomal RNA is filed under the name uncultured bacterium. Its description in RNAcentral is "partial 16S ribosomal RNA". It matches the Rfam family "Bacterial small subunit ribosomal RNA", at positions 28 to 507 of the family's 1533-position model. The record is from RNAcentral.
GACGAACGCUGGCGGCGUGCUUAACACAUGCAAGUCGAACGGAAAGGCCCCUUUGGGGGUCCUCGAGUGGCGAACGGGUGAGUAACACGUGCGUAACCUGCCCUUGACUUCGGGAUAACUUCAGGAAACUGGGGCUAAUACCGGAUAGGAAUCCUUGCUGCAUGGGGGGGGUUGGAAAGCUUCGGCGGGUUUGGAUGGACUCGCGGCUUAUCAGCUUGUUGGUGGGGUAGUGGCUUACCAAGGCGUUGACGGGUAGCCGGCCUGAGAGGGCGACCGGCCACAUUGGGACUGAGAGAAGGCCCAGACUCCGACGGGAGGCAGCAGUGGGGAAUAUUGCACAAUGGGCGGAAGCCUGAUGCAGCAACGCCGCGUGCGGGAUGACGGCCUUCGGGUUGAAAACCGCUUUCAGCAGGGGCGAAGCUUGUGGUGACGGUACCUGCAGAAGAAGCACCGGCUAACUACGUG